RNAcentral lists this ribosomal RNA (253 nucleotides) under uncultured bacterium. RNAcentral's name for it is "partial 16S ribosomal RNA". It matches the Rfam family "Bacterial small subunit ribosomal RNA", at positions 524 to 776 of the family's 1533-position model. The record is from RNAcentral.
GACGAACCGAGCGAACGUUGUUCGGAAUCACUGGGCUUAAAGGGCGCGUAGGCGGGUGCUCAAGUCUGUGGUGAAAUCCUCCGGCUCAACCGGAGAACGGCCAUGGAUACUGGGUGCCUCGAGGGUGAUAGGGGUAUGCGGAACUAUCGGUGGAGCGGUGAAAUGCGUUGAUAUCGAUAGGAACUCCGGUGGCGAAGGCGGCAUACUGGUCCACUUCUGACGCUGAGGCGCGAAAGCCAGGGGAGCAAACGGG